This 253-nucleotide ribosomal RNA is filed under the name uncultured bacterium. Its description in RNAcentral is "partial 16S ribosomal RNA". It matches the Rfam family "Bacterial small subunit ribosomal RNA", at positions 524 to 776 of the family's 1533-position model. The record is from RNAcentral.
UACGUAGGUGACAAGCGUUGUCCGGAUUUACUGGGCGUAAAGAGCGCGCAGGCGGUCGUUCAAGUCGAGUGUGAAAGCCCCCGGCUCAACUGGGGAGGGUCACUCGAUACUGAUCGACUCGAAGGCAGGAGAGGGUAGUGGAAUUCCCGGUGUAGUGGUGAAAUGCGUAGAUAUCGGGAGGAACACCAGUGGCGAAGGCGGUUCUCUGGGACGGUACUGACGCUGAGACGCGAAAGCGUGGGGAGCGAACAGG